GGGAUUAUGGCCUGUAACCAGGGUGAACUCCUGUCCGUACAAAUAGGGAGUCAAUUUCUUUAAGGCCCAAACCAGGGCCAAACACUCCUUCUCCACUGCCGCAUAGCUAACCUCUUGGGGAAGAAGUUUUUGACUAAUUUAGGCAACAGGGUGCUCUCCGCCAUCCUCUCCCACCUGGCUUAAAACUGCCCCCAGUCUGAACAUUGAAG
Molecule: non-coding RNA, 209 nt
Organism: Pelobates cultripes (western spadefoot toad)
Lineage: Eukaryota; Metazoa; Chordata; Amphibia; Anura; Pelobatidae
Source: the annotation of a GenBank genome assembly